This 1714-nucleotide long non-coding RNA is filed under the name Malus domestica (apple). RNAcentral's name for it is "long non-coding RNA (MDOM_LNC001831)". Lineage: Eukaryota; Viridiplantae; Streptophyta; Magnoliopsida; Rosales; Rosaceae. The record is from RNAcentral.
GAAGAAGAAGAGAGAGAUGUGUAAUUGUGGGUGUGUUCUAUUCCACCCCAUUAUGCCUUUAUUUAUAGUAGUAGGUAAGGUUAAUUCCUUGCCCUUUAGGAUUACAACAUUUAAUAGGUAAUCUACUCCUAAUAGGAAUAUAAGAGAUAUUCCAAGAUAUACUAGGAUUUGCACAAUCACAUUCCUAAUUUACUACGACUGCAACACUCCCCCUUGAGUGUGUAAAUACUCAAGUAAAUGGCACAUCAGGUCUUCAGUAAUGAAGUAAGUAUAGUUGAUGAAGUCGUCGACACAAUGAGUGAAUGCGAGUCUCAAAUCAACGGAAUAAUGCAUAAAAAAUAAAACUCACAAAACCUCGCUUUAGUAAAACCCAAGGUGGGAGACAACCCAUAGACUAAGGAGAAAAGUGAAAAGUUGAAUUAAGUCAAAACUAUACGUCUUUUGGACGCAAGUAAAAGAGCUCAAAAAGGUAUGAUCAGCCCAGGAUGGGUGCCUCGUUAAAACCUAGUUAGGUAGCAAAAACCCAGUGGGAAAAAUGCUCCUAAUCGUAAGGAAAAAGAGUACAUUAAGAUCUAGUGAGUAUACUUCUGGAUACUCCCCCUGAGUUUGACAUAACUUCCAAAUGAGAACUACAAGCAUUGCAUAUGAAUAGUUAGGUAUACCAAUUCCUCGGAUAAGCUUCUGGAAGGUUGACUUCUGUAGUGACGUCGUGUAAAGGUCGGCAAGGUUGUUUGGGAUCGGCUUGCAUGAUUUCAAUCUCCUGAUGCUUUGCUGAUGUAGAUGUGGACGCAAUAUGUCUUGGUGUUGACUUCAUUGAUGUAUCAUGGCUUGGUCGGGUUGAUACAUGCGGCAUAGUCUUCAUGGAUCGUCAUCGGGACUCAACGAUGGAUGAAAACACAGCAAGUACUUCGAAUAUGCUCAACAAGAACUUCUAACCAUGUCUCACUUGUGGCAUAGUGAAGUAAAGUGAGUCUUGGAACAAUUCGAAGAUUUUGCAACUAAAGUCAUAUCAUGGACCUCCAAGAUAUUGCAAUAUCCCUAACGGUAAAGACAUAACCAUUUGGAGAUUUUGCCUUGUGCAGGUUUGAUAAGUAACAUGUGUCAGCAUAACAAACAAGGCAAGCAUCAUUCUGAGGAUCAGGGGGUUGGAUCCGCUGAGAUGCGUUGGGAUUCACCCAUGUAGUACCUUCAGGGUAUGUCUUUAAUACCAAUUCAGUAGAUGCGUGUAGGCGCGGUGCUGCAUCUUGAUCGGAUCAUAUUUAUAUAUAUUUUUACUUCAAAUUCACUCGUCUUUCUUGGUUAGUUCCUUAUAUUUUUGAGCUAUUUACGUUAUUUUGUGUUUAUAGGAUCUGUUAUGCAAAGAAAAUAAAAAUAGCACAAAUGAGUUUUAAAUAAUAAACAGAAAAGUGGAACACGGAUGGACCACUAGAAAUAUAAUGGAGCGCAUAAAAAAUAUAUGGGGGGAAAAAACACACGGAACAGAGAAGGGAAGUGAGGCGCAGAGACUGUUGGGCACGGAAAGAAUAAAGGCUGCCUUUGGCAGCGUAAGAGAUGGCAGGAGAAGCACGGGAAGAAGAGGAGCACAGAGGCAGAGGCUUCACUCCAUUCUUAUUGGUGUUAUCUUCUCAAACUCAUGUUUAAUUUUUGGUUUAAUUUGAAAAUAAUGUGUAACUAAAUUUAUUUUGGCUAGAGGUUAAUUCAAAGCCAUGAAUAU